Molecule: long non-coding RNA, 678 nt
Organism: Peromyscus eremicus (cactus mouse)
Lineage: Eukaryota; Metazoa; Chordata; Mammalia; Rodentia; Cricetidae
Exons: 3
Source: RefSeq, a predicted model, not a curated record
GCUGGGAUGAAGUAAACAUGGCCAUGCAUUGAACCUCACAGAUCUCACAGACGACACCUGCACACACCAAGAUGCUUGACUACUCAAAACUCUGUGGCAGAAGGAGACAGCACGUGAGAUGGGCGCAGUCCCUGGAGAAGGGACAGAAUGAAUGCUCUGUGGUGUCUCUGAGACUGAAAGCUGGCUGGAGGUAGAUGGUGGGCUUCAUGCUUCUCCCAGACGCCAGCACACAAUUUAUCCCAUCGCUUCUGGAUGAAUCUGUCAGAAGUGAUUUGAAUGUGCAUGCUUUGACCAUCUACGAGGUCCUACAUCUAGGAGGUCCUCAUUCUGCAUAAGGUUUCUCCAACAGAGAAACAUGAAGCGAGCGGUAUGCGGCAAUGCUGUGUGAGACAAGAACCAGGCUUAUGUCAGAGCUGCUCUCUUGGUCGCCUCUCGCCUCCACUCCCGGUUCCCAUGGUGACUCAGGAAAGGCUCCUCAGACCUGACAGCAGAUCCACAGCAGUGUGGGGAAGCUCAGCAUGGAGGACAGCCAUAAAACAUAACAGCAUUUGCCCAAGGACAGUUCUGAGUCUGGGGGAAUGGGGGCUGUCUCUGCUUCCAGGAGCUGCAGAGUACCCCAAAUGUAAUGUAGUUGCAAAGAAGGAAAAAAACAGAAAAGGGUAGCAAGCCAUGUGUGAA